This 784-nucleotide small RNA is filed under the name Pan troglodytes (chimpanzee). Its description in RNAcentral is "retained intron". The record is from RNAcentral. Lineage: Eukaryota; Metazoa; Chordata; Mammalia; Primates; Hominidae.
AAUGGCCAGGGGGAGGAAAGCCCCUCCCCAGUCCCUAUUUAUAGGCUUUGUGUCCUGCAGGUGAGAGACCUGCCAGGAGCAGAGCAGGGGCCAGGUCACCCCGGGGUAUACCGUCCCCCAGCCCCCCACUGCAAAACUGGGUUAAUGCCUCAGGGAGAUUUCCGUAACCUAAGUUCAAGGGAAAGUCUGGCAUGGGUGUUCCUUCCUCUCCCUCCCCACCCUACAGUGGCACCUGAGCCUCAGGUCCUCUCGGCCCUCCCCCAGGGUGGUGAUCAUGAACUCGAUCCUGGAGCGCAUGUGUGCCGACGUGCUGCAGCAGACAGCCACGCAGAUCAAGUUUCCCUCCACCGGGGUGGACACAAUGCCCUACUGGAACCUGCUGCCCCCCAAGCGGCCCAUCAAAGAGGUGCUGACGGACAUCUUUGCCAAGGUGCUGGAGAAGGGCUGGGUGGACAGCCGCUCCAUCCACAUCUUUGACACCCUGCUGCACAUGGGCGGCGUCUACUGGUUCUGCAACAACCUGAUUAAGGAGCUGCUGAAGGAGACGCGGAAGGAGCACACGCUGCGGGCAGUGGAGCUGCUCUACUCCAUCUUCUGCCUGGACAUGCAGCAAGUGACCCUGGUCCUGCUGGGCCACAUCCUGCCUGGCCUGCUCACUGACUCCUCCAAGUGGCACAGCCUCAUGGACCCCCCGGGCACUGCUCUUGCCAAGCUGGCCGUGUGGUGUGCCCUCAGUUCCUACUCCUCCCACAAGGGACAGGCGUCCACCCGCCAGAAGAAGAGA